UAAAGAAUUUCGGUAUGGGAUGGGGAUGCGUUCCAUUAGUUAGUUGGCGGGGUAACGGCCCACCAAGACGACGAUGGAUAGGGGUUCUGAGAGGAAGGUCCCCCACAUUGGAACUGAGACACGGUCCAAACUCCUACGGGAGGCAGCAGUGAGGAAUAUUGGUCAAUGGACGAGAGUCUGAACCAGCCAAGUAGCGUGAAGGAUGACUGCCCUAUGGGUUGUAAACUUCUUUUAUAUGGGAAUAAAACGUUCCACGUGUGGGAUUUUGUAUGUACCAUAUGAAUAAGGAUCGGCUAACUCCGUGCCAGCAGCCGCGGUAAUACGGAGGAUCCGAGCGUUAUCCGGAUUUAUUGGGUUUAAAGGGAGCGUAGGUGGAUUGUUAAGUCAGUUGUGAAAGUUUGCGGCUCAACCGUAAAAUUGCAGUUGAAACUGGCAGUCUUGAGUACAGUAGAGGUGGGCGGAAUUCGUGGUGUAGCGGUGAAAUGCUUAGAUAUCACGAAGAACUCCGAUUGCGAAGGCAGCUCACUGGACUGCAACUGACACUGAGGCUCGAAAGUGUGGGUAUCAAACAGGAUUAGAUACCCUGGUAGUCCACACAGUAAACGAUGAAUACUCGCUGUUUGCGAUAUACAGUAA
This 636-nucleotide ribosomal RNA is filed under the name uncultured bacterium. RNAcentral's name for it is "bacterial SSU rRNA". It matches the Rfam family "Bacterial small subunit ribosomal RNA", at positions 202 to 842 of the family's 1533-position model. The record is from RNAcentral.